UAUAAGACGAGAAGACCCCAUGGAGCUUCAAACCCAACUACACCCCUAGCUCUUAUAGCCCCACAACCCCCCUAGGCACCGUGUGCUUGGUUUUAGGUUGGGGCGACCGCGGAGUACAAUAAAACCUCCACAAUGAAUGGGAACACCCCCUUAUCUGAGGGCCACACCCCCUAAGAAUUAGAACACUAACAUAAAAUGAUCCAUUACUUGAUCAAUGAACCAAGUUACCCUGGGGAUAACAGCGCAAUCCAUUUCAAGAGCCCCUAUCGACAAAUGGGUUUACGACCUCGAUGUUGGAUCAGGGUACCCCAGUGGUGCAGCAGCUACUAACGGUUCGUUUGUUCAACGAUUAAAACCCU
Molecule: ribosomal RNA, 359 nt
Filed under: Mantidactylus melanopleura
Lineage: Eukaryota; Metazoa; Chordata; Amphibia; Anura; Mantellidae
Description: partial 16S ribosomal RNA
Rfam family: Bacterial large subunit ribosomal RNA
Source: RNAcentral